UGCAGGGUAGAGUAGUGGUUUAUCUCAUCAGGCUCGUAACCUGAAGAGCGUCAGUUCGAUUCUGGCUCCUGCAA
This 74-nucleotide transfer RNA is filed under the name Candidatus Equadaptatus faecalis. Its description in RNAcentral is "tRNA-Thr". It matches the Rfam family "tRNA". From Rfam's summary of the family: Transfer RNA (tRNA) molecules are approximately 80 nucleotides in length. Their secondary structure includes four short double-helical elements and three loops (D, anti-codon, and T loops). The record is from RNAcentral. Lineage: Bacteria; Thermotogati; Synergistota; Synergistia; Synergistales; Synergistaceae.